This is a non-coding RNA of Paramuricea clavata, 959 nucleotides long. NCBI's taxonomy places the organism in Eukaryota, Metazoa, Cnidaria, Anthozoa, Malacalcyonacea, Plexauridae. The record is from the annotation of a GenBank genome assembly.
GGCAGAUGGUCAUCACCAAGUGGAUCUGGGAAAACAAUUGAUUUAUAUGAAUCUGAACAGAAAUUUAGCACCACAUGGUACUCAAGCAAGCAGUGUUACGUUCGUUAGUGCUUCAAGGUGAUUCUCAGACUACGGAAAUAGUAAGGAAUAAACUAAACUAAUCGCAAACAAUAAACACGACGAAAAUAGCAUGUACGUUGAAGUAUCUCAGCAACCGGGAUCGUUGCAGUCGCAGAAUGCUAGUGACUUGCUGCCAACAAGUUUAGUAAGUGAAAGCCCCCUAGACUAAGCAACCGGGCCUAAACCAUACCUGGAUGAGUCGGAACUCAGCCUAAGGAGAAAAGAUAUUGCGAAAACAGUUGUGACAAGUGAUAUAAGCGAUAAUGUGGUUGCUCAAGCAAGUGAAGGAUCUAUAGUGAAACUAUGUAAUUAUAUGUGUAAACAGAGAACUUGCUGCUGAGUUUGAAGGUAUGAAGUUGGAUUUAACAAUACUACAAGCGCAAAGAGGCUGUGAGGGCCCUAUUUCUGGUAAUCGACCGAAGUCUGCAAUUGAAUCGCUGCAGGAAAAAUAUUAAGAAAUUGUAAACAUCAUUGAAGUUCAAGCUGAAGUCACUAGUGAGCUUAAACAAGAAAAUUUGUUAUUUAAAUCGGGUUUGAGUAGUUGGAAAUUUUAUUCAAUCUACUUUAAAUCCUCCAUGUAUUUAUUUGUGACAAAUCGAACAAUAGCUAAGUGUACCUGCGAAUGUAAAUAAGGAACUACCAACAAACACGUUAAAAGAGAGCAUUUUGCAAAAUUCCAAAGCGCCCGCCGUUGCAUCGAACAAUAGGCACGAUGAGGUAAAUAGUUAUUCAGUGUUGUGCUUACGAAUUUAAAUAAACAAUCAUCACCAAACCAUUAAAAGAGAACAGUUUAAUUGCACAAAAUCUCAAAGCGCUCGCCACAAUAGCUAUGAUGAAGC